CAGCAGCCGCGGUAAAACGUAGGGUGCAAGCGUUAAUCGGAAUUACUGGGCGUAAAGCGUGCGCAGGCGGUUUUGUAAGACAGAGGUGAAAUCCCCGGGCUCAACCUGGGAACUGCCUUUGUGACUGCAAGGCUAGAGUACGGCAGAGGGGGAUGGAAUUCCGCGUGUAGCAGUGAAAUGCGUAGAUAUGCGGAGGAACACCGAUGGCGAAGGCAAUCCCCUGGGCCUGUACUGACGCUCAUGCACGAAAGCGUGGGGAGCAAACAGGAUUAGAUACCCUGUAGUCCCUGUCUCUUAUACA
RNAcentral lists this ribosomal RNA (301 nucleotides) under uncultured bacterium. Its description in RNAcentral is "partial 16S ribosomal RNA". It matches the Rfam family "Bacterial small subunit ribosomal RNA", at positions 509 to 808 of the family's 1533-position model. The record is from RNAcentral.